This 494-nucleotide ribosomal RNA is filed under the name uncultured bacterium. Its description in RNAcentral is "partial 16S ribosomal RNA". It matches the Rfam family "Bacterial small subunit ribosomal RNA", at positions 28 to 507 of the family's 1533-position model. The record is from RNAcentral.
GACGAACGCUGGCGGCGCGCUUAACACAUGCAAGUCGAACGGAAAGGCCUGCUUUCCCUUGUGGAUUGCGGGUACUCGAGUGGCGAACGGGUGAGUAACACGUGAGUGAUCUGCCCCCAACUUGGGUAUAAGCCUGGGAAACUGGGUCUAAUUCCCGAUAGGACUGCAGGGUGGUGCCUGUGGUGGAAAACGAUUUUCUAGUGGUUGGGGAUGAGCUCGCGGCCUAUCAGCUUGUUGGUGGGGUAAUGGCCUACCAAGGCGGCGACGGGUAGCCGGCCUGGGAGGGUGGACGGGCACAUUGGGACUGAGAUAAGGCCCAGAAUCCUAAGGGAGGGAGGAGUGGGGAAUAUUGCAAAAUGGGCGGAAGCCUGAAGGAGCGAAGGCGCGGGGGGGAAUACGGCCUUCGGGGUGUAAACUUCUUUCGAACGGGAGGAAGCCACCUGGUUGGAAGGGGGGUGACGGUAGUGGUAGAAGAAGCACCGGCUAACUACGUG